Molecule: transfer RNA, 71 nt
Filed under: Ictidomys tridecemlineatus (thirteen-lined ground squirrel)
Lineage: Eukaryota; Metazoa; Chordata; Mammalia; Rodentia; Sciuridae
Description: Spermophilus tridecemlineatus (thirteen-lined ground squirrel) tRNA
Rfam family: tRNA
About the family: Transfer RNA (tRNA) molecules are approximately 80 nucleotides in length. Their secondary structure includes four short double-helical elements and three loops (D, anti-codon, and T loops). Further hydrogen bonds mediate the characteristic L-shaped molecular structure. tRNAs have two regions of fundamental functional importance: the anti-codon, which is responsible for specific mRNA codon recognition, and the 3' end, to which the tRNAs corresponding amino acid is attached (by aminoacyl-tRNA synthetases). tRNAs cope with the degeneracy of the genetic code in two manners: having more than one tRNA (with a specific anti-codon) for a particular amino acid; and 'wobble' base-pairing, i.e. permitting non-standard base-pairing at the 3rd anti-codon position.
Source: Rfam by way of RNAcentral
GGUGGUGGAGCUCAGGGGUAGAGCAUUUGCCUAGCAUAUGUGAAGCCCUGGGUUCAAUCCCAGCACCAUGA